This 2378-nucleotide long non-coding RNA is filed under the name Salmo salar (Atlantic salmon). RNAcentral's name for it is "lncRNA (ENSSSAG00000102523.1)". The record is from RNAcentral. Lineage: Eukaryota; Metazoa; Chordata; Actinopteri; Salmoniformes; Salmonidae.
CCUCCACCGUAUAUUCACACUACAAUAAACAGAAAAGAACUGGAGCUCUGUGGUUACAUGACAGGACGUGAGUGGGCUGCUGCAGGGCAGUGGGUGACCUCAUACAGCAGCAGCAGCAGUCGAGGAGGCCUGAGAAUCUCAGCUCUCUGCUCUAAAUACCACUUUAAUUGGAGUGGACAACCACAGACAGCCAUCUUGGCUCAUAGUGAUACAGUAGCAGCCAUGAUGAGUCAUUCAUAAUUAGGACGAAGGAGACUAACUCUCCACUCAUAUCAGGGUGACGUUGGCCCUAACAGGCUAGACUGAUCUAAGGUCAGUUUUAUGUUACUCUCCAGCUAAUGGUUCUGAUUUGGGAACGGAAAGCUGAUCCUAGAUCUGUGCCUGGUGCAGUAUUAGCCAUUAGUCACCGGUGUUAAGUAGGGUUUAAAGAGACGUGCCACCCACUAUGUAGUGCUCUACACCCUCCCUACUGCAGGUCGUCAUUCAUUAUAUAAUGCAACAGACGGAUGAUGUGUCCCAAAUGACACCCCCUCAUUCCGUAUAUAGAGCACUACUUCUGACCAGGGCUCUGACCCUAACCUUAAGAAUAGCAGCAGCAUACUAACAUCCCAACACUGAGUGGUGGUUGUGAGGACCCAGAUUAAGUCAAUGCUACUAUUGGACUAGACAGCAUGUUCAAAGGGGUUCAACAUCCCAUAACAGAAAUAAAACAGGGAGGGACCUAGCUGAAUUCGUCCAAUAGAAACUCUCAUUUUCAUUGCAUAAAAGGUUUUUAUGUUCGGAGUUAAAACGAUUCCAGUUGCAAAAUACUUUGCUACAGUGGAAAACAAAUGAAUACAGCCCCUGGACAUAAAGCAUGUUUAAAAGGCUUCCAAAUCCCAUAUUUCAAAAGGCUCAAGAAAAUGGAAGAGGGAGAGAGAGAGAGACAAAGAACAAUUUUAUAUUUGUAUUUUUCAGACAAGAAAAAAAAAAUUGUGUUACUGGUUACAAUUUCAAGUCACAUAUUAAACUGGAAAGAAUAAGCAUAUUUGUGACAUAAGAAAAUAGAUGACAUUGACGGUUCAAAUGUGGUUUCAUUAAUUACAAAUUUUUAGAUUGAAUCAAUAACAUUGUAUCAACAUCCAGACCAGCUGAAUGUUGUCUUAGGAGUCAAGAGAAACAAACUAAAUGAAAACAAGAGAACCACGCCACCCCACAAUACACCACAUGCCUAUCAAUGCAGUUCAUCACACUAGUAGCAAAGAUGAGCAUCUUAAAUGUUACAUUUGACGGUAGGUAGUUGAAGAACAGUCCAACUCAUUUUUCCUGUCCUGCAGUUCACGUUGUAACCAUCUCUAUUGACUCUGCUGCACUGAUGGAAACCUAUUCCCUAUAUAGUGCACUACUUUUGAACAGGGCCAUAUUCCCCAUAUAGUGCACUACUUUAGAAAAGGGCCUAUAGAGAAAAUAGUUUGUCUCUAUGCCCAGACUACUGGCUGGAAUAACCAAUACCACUUUUGUAAUCCUGUUCCGUGUGGAUUAGAGCAUGACAUCACUGAUCAAUACAAUAUUCAAUCUGGGAGAGGUGAGAGAUCAGAUUGACCUGCUACGGCCACAGUGUGUGUCAGUCAGGUCUAUGUGUGUAAUGCAGGGUUCUCCAACCCUGUUCCUGGAGAGAGACCCUCCUGUAGGUUUUAACCCCAACCCUGUUCCUGGAGAGAGACCGUCCUGUAGGGUAGCUCUCCAGGAACAGGGUUGGAGUUAAAACCUACAGGAGGGUAGCUCUACAGGAACAGUGUUGGAGAGCCCUGGGGUGGUGUGAACGGGGUCACUCCACAGUAAGAGGAGUUCAGUAGCGGUCGUAAUGUGAUGGUCUCUGGUUGUAGGAGUUGUAUCUUCCAGACUGAUGCCCACCGCCCUGGCCGUAACGCCUGUCCCUGUCCCCCCCGCGGUCCCUGUCCCCUCCGCGGUCCCUGUCCCCUCCGCGGUCCCUGUCCCCCCCGCGGUCCCUGUCCCCCCCGCGGUCCCUGUCCCCCCCGCGGUCCCUGUCCCCUCCCCAACCCCUGUACCCGCCACGGUCCUGGGAUCUGAAGAACAGAGGGAGGAAGAGAGAGAGAAAGAGAUGUGGGAAGAAAAAAAACAUAUCAACCAAAUGAACAUGUUAUCCAUCCCAGCAAACUGUAGAAUGACAUAUCAGACCAGCUGCUAUUGUUGUGCAGAAACACUUCUGGAAAUGUCCUGUUCUUAUUAUGGCACAGAAUAAUACGGUAGUAGUUAGCAGUCCAAUACUGUGUUAAAGAUAUUAAUGAUGAGGAGACAAGCCAGGGCUGCAUUCAGCAGAUCAAAACGGUGUGCAACGUUUGACUGAACAGAAACAGUGGUGUUCUGAACGACCCAGU